RNAcentral lists this long non-coding RNA (1095 nucleotides) under Numida meleagris (helmeted guineafowl). RNAcentral's name for it is "lncRNA (ENSNMEG00000014362.1)". Lineage: Eukaryota; Metazoa; Chordata; Aves; Galliformes; Numididae. The record is from RNAcentral.
UUUAAAAGUGAACAACAAACUUUUACUAUCAAGAAUUCAAGUAUUCAAGAAUACUUACUAAAGAAAAAUCAAUGAGCAGAACUAAACAGGUAAUAAGAAGACAAGAGACAGCUGUUGUGGGGAGGUCCAAGCAGGAGGUUAAGUGGUGUGGAGAAGACUUAAGGUGGGAGUAAGAAGCAGUACUUUAAUAUUUGCCGUUUCCAGUUUGGAUUUUGCAAACACCUUGUGGUUCAAUCUGGUGGCAGCUUCACACCAUGCAGCCCUUCACUCGCUGCCCUCCCAGUGGGAUGAGGGAGAGAACUGGAAACAAAACAGAUCUCGUGGGCUGAGAUACAAACUAUUUGCGAAGACAAGAAAAGGGAAACAGAAACAAAAAUGCGAUGAUAUCUGUGUCUUUGCAGCGCUGACCACCAUCCAGCCGACCCCCAAGCACCAGCGUGCCCCUUCACAGUUCGAUGGCCCUCCACGUGAUGUCGCAUGGCAUGGAACAACCCUGUGCCUACUUCAGGCCGGCUGUCCUGGCUCUGCCCUGACCCCUUCUCCAUGCCAAUAUGGCAGUGGCCUUUCCCUGUAGAGUGGCCAAGCUCAGCCCGGUCCCAGGUGCACUCCCAUCACUCAGCCACAGCAAAAACAUCAGUGCGCUAAUAACUCUGCCUCAGCUGAAACCACAACACUCCACUUCCUGUCAACAUUUUUUUUUGUGUUCAAGUUCAUUCAGUAUAAUAUUUCCUUACAUAUGCUGAGUUCAUUCUAAGUUUGCCUUCCCCUAUGUUAAAACUUUAAAAUAGGAAAUCAGGAUGCUAAGCAUAUAAAAAACAGUUUUUCCUUUCUAAGUUCUGAAGACUACAGUAAAAUAUUCCACGUAAGCAUGAUUUCUGUCAAUGUUUUUUAAGUUUGCAAUAAUUUAUCACUACUGUGAAGUGCUUGUAGCAAUCUGUGUCAAACAGUGUAUUGCUCCAAUCAAUUAUUAAGGUAGUUUUCAAGUUUUUAUUAAGCUUUAUAAUGAAAGUUCCUUGUCUUUUAGAAAAUUUCAUAAAGGAAUUGACAGAUAGAUGUUCCAUUUAUUAUUACAAAUAAAUGAUAUGUGUAUAAGCA